Molecule: ribosomal RNA, 257 nt
Filed under: uncultured bacterium
Lineage: Bacteria
Description: partial small subunit ribosomal RNA
Rfam family: Bacterial small subunit ribosomal RNA
Source: RNAcentral
AGGACGAACGCUGGCGGCGUGCUUAACACAUGCAAGUCGAGCGGAAAGGCCCUUCGGGGUACUCGAGCGGCGAACGGGUGAGUAACACGUGAGCAACCUGCCCCUGGCUCUGGGAUAGCCUCCGGAAACGGGGAUUAAUACCGGACAUGACCCUUGACCGCAUGGUUGGGGGUGGAAAGUUUUUCGGCCAGGGUGGGGCUCGCGGCCUAUCAGCUUGUUGGGGGGGUAAAGGCCUACCAAGGCGACGACGGGUAGCC